UUCAUCCCGUCUGUCCGCAGGGCGCAGCCCCGAGGGCAGGACGAGCGGCUGUGUCCCCUGCUCCCCGAGAGGUAAAUGGAGAAUCCGUGACCCCCACCAGGCCGAGCCUGGUCAUUCCUCCCCGGGUCGGGUUACUGGGCUCUGCCUUGCUGCGGGUGCCCGGCUCCUUCCUCCAAGCCUGAGGACUCUUGCUGGGUUUCUCCUCCACAGGUGGCAGAAGGUCCUUCCCAUCGGAGUUUUCAGCACGGCCCUGGUAUUUCAUAAACACCUUUUCCUAGAGGAGGAGGCACCAUCCGCUGUUUGUUUCCUCACUUAAUUGCUUCGGACUAUUGCUGACUGGGGACACAGAAGCAUGCAGUUGUGUUCUGCCUUGAGAAAUCUAAUAUUUACCAUGACUUAACUGCUCUCCUUUCAUUCUUCUUCUUGGAGAUGGAAGAUUAUGGGACCUUUUCAUUUUAGUGAUGAAGAAACAAGAUGAAUUCAUAUGUGACUGGUAGGAUGACAAAUCCAGAAAUGACAGUGCUCCUGAGGGAAUGAGGGGUAGUAAGGAAGAUAAAAGAUACAAUUAACUGAGCUUCUUUUGGAGCGCUGGAGAAUUCAUCUGCCCCAUCCGUCUGGCCAGACACUGUAGUCACCUUUCCUCCUCAGGCAGGCCUGGCCCUUUUCUCAGUAGGCUGACAAUCGUGACAUUUUGUGAUGGGAACAAAAAGGCAACUAGGCGAUGAGGCCAGCAAACUCAUUUCACUUGUAUCCAAUGGAAGCCUCCAGAGGAAAAAAGAGCCCCGCUCGGAGUGAGCGGCAGGUCAGCCCUGCAGGGAUGGAGGCUCUGCAUGCUCUGACUGCCUGGCUUGAUCCUCAUCCACCUGGGGACGGGAGAGGGUCCAGGAGACCCGGCUCUGGCAAAAGAGAUGACCUUGGGAGCCCAGCCUCCCUCUUCGUUAUUGCCUGCUGAACAGCUGCACAGAAUUAGAAAGUGGCCACGAAGAACUAUGGAGGACUUUGUGUGAGGUUACGAUGCAUUCCACGGCCAAACAACAGGAACUGAAAGAGUGGCAGGACAGGGAGAAGAGGGACCGAAAGAAGAAUGCGUGCACCAGAGUGAAGCCAUGGAACAGCUCUUAAAUGUUAUGGAGCACCAAACGGACACGCUCUAGGCUAUACUAGCACUGCAAACCGAGCGGGUCCGCGCCCACCUGCCCUUGCAGCUGCUGUCGCAAAACUCUUUCCCACGUGCCCCCCCAGACACUCUUAUCAACCUUCUGGCUCCAGUCUGUACCCGCAGCAUUCCACUCCUCCCCCUGACAGUCUGGCACUGCGGACUCCCAGUACCCAUUGCACUCAACACCCAUCCCUCUG
Long non-coding RNA from Chelonia mydas (Green sea turtle), 1356 nucleotides. RefSeq lists it as uncharacterized. The record is from RefSeq and is a predicted model, not a curated record. NCBI's taxonomy places the organism in Eukaryota, Metazoa, Chordata, Testudines, Cheloniidae. The transcript has 6 exons.